Molecule: ribosomal RNA, 429 nt
Filed under: Acidobacteriota bacterium
Lineage: Bacteria; Pseudomonadati; Acidobacteriota
Description: Acidobacteria bacterium partial 16S ribosomal RNA
Rfam family: Bacterial small subunit ribosomal RNA
Source: RNAcentral
UGGGGAAUUUUGGACAAUGGGGGAAACCCUGAUCCAGCCAUCCCGCGUGUGCGAUGAAGGCCUUCGGGUUGUAAAGCACUUUUGGCAGGAAAGAAACGUCAUGGGUUAAUACCCCGUGAAACUGACGGUACCUGCAGAAUAAGCACCGGCUAACUACGUGCCAGCAGCCGCGGUAAUACGUAGGGUGCAAGCGUUAAUCGGAAUUACUGGGCGUAAAGCGUGCGCAGGCGGUUCGGAAAGAAAGAUGUGAAAUCCCAGGGCUCAACUUUGGAACUGCAUUUUUAACUACCGGGCUAGAGUGUGUCAGAGGGAGGUAGAAUUCCGCGUGUAGCAGUGAAAUGCGUAGAUAUGCGGAGGAACACCGAUGGCGAAGGCAGCCUCCUGGGAUAACACUGACGCUCAUGCACGAAAGCGUGGGGAGCAAACAGG